CGGGGAAUAUUCCGCAAUGGACGAAAGUCUGACGGAGCAACGCCGCGUGAGUGAUGAAGGUUUUCGGACUGUAAAGCUCUGUUGUUUAGGACGAAAGUGCCUGUUGCGAACAGUUACAGGUAUUGACGGUACUAAACGAGGAAGCCACGGCUAACUACGUGCCAGCAGCCGCGGUAAUACGUAGGUGGCAAGCGUUGUCCGGAAUUAUUGGGCGUAAAGAGCAUGUAGGCGGAGAUUUAAGUCUGUCGUGAAAAUGCGGGGCUCAACCCCGUAUUGCGAUGGAAACUGAAUUUCUUGAGUGCAGGAGAGGAAAGGGGAAUUCCCAGUGUAGCGGUGAAAUGCGUAGAUAUUGAGAGGAACACCAGUGGCGAAGGCGCCUUUCUGGACUGUGUCUGACGCUGAGAUGCGAAAGCCAGGGUAGCGAACGG
This 428-nucleotide ribosomal RNA is filed under the name uncultured bacterium. RNAcentral describes it as "bacterial SSU rRNA". It matches the Rfam family "Bacterial small subunit ribosomal RNA", at positions 355 to 775 of the family's 1533-position model. The record is from RNAcentral.